UUUCUCUUCAUCAGGUCAUCAUCACAGAUGGAAGGGCUCCGUAUUUCUCUGGUCAUUCUGCUAGUAUCAUGCAAUCAUGAUUGGAUCUCUGGAUCAGUUUUGGAGAGGACAGUCAGAGCAGGAGACAAUGUCACUCUCUACUGUGACUGCAAGUUAUCGACCGGAGUAUUCAUACGGUGGUACAGGAACUGCUCUCAUGAGAACCAGCCGUCUCUCGUCCUUCAAAAUAAAUUGGAACAAACCACAAACAUGGAACACAUACUGCAUCCUCUUCCUCGUUUCCGCUUUGUGAGAAACUUUUCCUCUGACUCCUAUGACCUGCUGAUUAUUAACAUCACUGAGACCGAUGAAGGGCUCUACUACUGUGGAACUGAGCAGAUUAAGGUGGAUUAUAAAGAACACUUUACUUCAAGAAAUGUUUACACAUAUGGCAACAAAACAACAAGGAUCUUUUUCAAAUCCAGCUCAUACCCUGACUCCAGUGAACGCACUUGGAAACCUGAUGUGCUCUGGAUGAUUGUGCUCACUCCAGCCUUUACUAUUCUCUCCUCCUUUAUUUCCUUUAUUCUGGUGUAUCACUUCUGUCAGAAAAUGGGUACUGUUGUCUCACAAUUGGUUUCUCUACUAUUGUUUCAAAUAAAUGAUGUCACAAUUAUUAUUUCUACAUUUAGGAACGCUCUCAUAGUGUACUAUAUUUUCAAAGGCGCAGUCGGUGGUAAUUUGUAAUGAUGUUGUAUUUUAUUUUGCAGAUAAGGAACCUCAAAUUAUCCAGAAAAAACUUGACACCAGGAUUCAAACAAGAUGGGAUCAGGAUGAAGAUUGGUGUUUCACACGAGUUGUGUUCCGAGCGACGGAUAGACAAACACAACAAUCGGCGUAAAUUCAGGCAGAAACAAACUAAAGUGCAAGGAGUUCAGACUCAGAAGGUGAAAGUCAUGUGAUCAGUUUAAGUAUUCAAUCCCUCCUGUUUUUCUUUUCAGUUGUUCUUGCCAAUCUGUUAUCAGACUUUCUCAAGGUCACUUUGUCAUUAUGUUAUGUAUGAGAUCAUGAAGUGAUUGACAUGUUUUAUGAAGAUUGGAUUUAUUGCCAGUUUACUUACAUUGUAAUCACAUGUUCUUACUGAAUUGUAAUUAAUAAGUGUGUGUAAACAAACAAUUAUCAUCAACAAACAAAAACGCUCCUUUCCUUAUUUAUGAAUGUGGUAUCAUUACAUAUAUUUGAAUCGUGAUAAAAAUGAUCAAUAUAAGAAAUAAUAAUAAAUACAUUGAACUGAUAGCAGGAUGAACACUUCAGUAAUCCAGAAAACAGUACAAUUCUAAAUCAUUUUGAUUAAUAUCACAAAGCCUUAUUAAUUCAGGACAUUGCUCUCUUUCUCAUUGGUCUUUGACUGUUGGAUGUGCCAACACAAUAUCUGCAUUCUUUUUCCUUAACUAAGUUGCUGUGACAAAAAUGUAAUGUAACAUUUUACACAAAUUAUCCUUUUUACAAGCCAGGUUACUAUUUUAAUCAAAGUUCUAUUAUAAUGAAUAUGUAUUGUUUUUAACAUUUUGAUACAAUAUAAAAAAACCUAUUAAUUCCACUCUAUGGAGACAAAUCUGAGCCAAAUGAUACAACAACUUUUAAAAUGAGAAGGUACAAACUUCAUAUUGCUUCUGUCUUAAACCCUAUAGAAAUAUUUUAUGUAAAAUUGACACCAUAUCUUAUUAUUUUAAUUAUAUUUACUAAAUUAUUUUCAUCUCUCUAUGCAUACCAUUUACUUUUUCAUUAACUUAACUUUUUCAUUAUAUAUACACUGCCCUGCCAAAAAAAAGCUCACCACCUGGAUUUAACUAAGCAAAUAGGUAUUGGAUAAUUACUGCAUGGGUGAUUAUUUUUCAGCUGGCAACAAGUUAUUUAACCCUAACUGAUGCAGUGAGUAGCUUCUCAUGUGUUAAACAGUCAUGUCGAAAGACAUAUCCUGUGGUCCGGGGAAAAGAUGUUAAUCGUUUCAGAAGGGUCAAAUUAUUGGCAUGCAUCAAGCAGAGAAAACAUCUGUCCAACGCUGAAAACUGGAAGGACAGUGGGGAAAAAUCAUCUUUGAGGAAGGAAUGUGGUCGGAAAAAAAUCUUGAAUGAUCGUGAUUGGCAAUCAAUUAAGCGUUUGGUGAAAUCAAAGCGUAGAAAACAACAGUAGAACUCACGGCUAUGUUUAAAAGUGAAAGUAAGAGCAUUUCCACAUGCACAAUGCGAAGGGAACUCAAGGGAUUGGGACUAAAAAGCUGUGUAGCCGUAAGAAAACCACUUCACAGAGAGGCUAAUUUGAAAAAAACGGCUUGAAUUUGCUAGGGAGCAUAAAGAUUGGACUCUGGAGCAAUGGAAGAAGGUCAUGUGGUCUGAUGAGUCCAGAUUUACCCUGUUCCAGAGUGAUGGGCGCAUCAGGGUAAGAAGAGAGGCGGCUGAAGUGAUGCACCCAUCAUGCCUAGUGCCUACUGUAUAAGCCUGUGGGGGCAGUGCUAUGAUCUGGGGUUGCUGCAGUUGGUCUGGUCUAGGUUCAGCAACGUUAUGUGCCCAAAGAAUGAGGUCAGCUGACUACCUGAAUAUACUGAAGUUAUUCCAUCAAUGGAUUUUUUCUUCCCUGAUGGCACGGGCAUGUUCCACGAUGACAAUGCCAGGAUCCAUCGGGCUAAAGUUGUGAAAGAGUGGUUCAGGGAGAAUGAGACAUCAUUUUCACACAUGGAUUGGCCCCCACAGAGUCCAGACCUGAACCCGAUUGAGAAUCUUUAGGAUGUGCUGGAGAAGACUUUGCGCAAUGGUCCGAAUCUCCCGUCAUCAAUACAACAUCUUGGCGAAAAAUUAAUGCAACUCUGGACAGAAAUACAUGUUGUGACAUUGCAGAAGCUUGUGGAAACGAUACCACAGCGAAUGCGUGCCAUACUCAAAGCUAUAGGCGGUCCAACGAAUAUUAGAGUGUGUGACCUUUUUUUUGGCCAGGCAGUUUAUAUAUAUUAUAUUUGGAUUCACUGUGUUUCUAAUCUAUCAUUCAAGCUUAAGCUUAAGCUACUGCUGAGUCUUUUUCAGAGCAGACUUGAGCUUUGUUUCUUUGUCCAGCUGAGCGUGAAGGGAAGCUGUUGAUUGUUACGUCUCCUCCUGGAGGAUGGUUUCCUCCAGCUCAAAGCGGCGGCGCUCAGUCUGUGAGAGAUGAUGUGCCUUUUUCAGGGCAAUUUGGAGGUUCCUAUUCGCCGCUCUCUCUAUUUGUUUGAUUCUAUAUACUCUAUACAUAUACUGUAUAUUUGUCUCUUUUACUGUUGAUUUUCAUCCAUUAACUGAAAUGACCACAUUUCUUAGAUUUUAUGCGGUAUAAUCUUACAGUCGUCAACAGUAGCAGAAUAUAUAAGUUUAUAUAGUAUAAUCUGCAUUGUUUGAUAAAUGUUUAACGUGGUAACCAAGUAUUUUUAUGGAAAUAAUUUUGGGAACAUGUUCAAAAAUAAAAUGGGAUGGAAUGUG
Long non-coding RNA from Eleginops maclovinus (Patagonian blennie), 3482 nucleotides. RefSeq lists it as uncharacterized. NCBI's taxonomy places the organism in Eukaryota, Metazoa, Chordata, Actinopteri, Perciformes, Eleginopidae. The transcript is spliced from 4 exons. The record is from RefSeq and is a predicted model, not a curated record.